Molecule: ribosomal RNA, 2213 nt
Filed under: human gut metagenome
Description: bacterial LSU rRNA
Rfam family: Bacterial large subunit ribosomal RNA
Source: RNAcentral
GCCGUGUGGCGUAUGCGUAGCGAAAGCGAGUCCGAAUAGGGCGUUUUCAGUCGCUUGUCCUGGACCCGAAGCGGGAUGAUCUAGCCCUGGGCAGGUUGAAGCGCGGGUAAGACCGCGUGGAGGACCGAACCCACCUGGGUUGAAAACCGGGGGGAUGACCUGGGGCUAGGGGUGAAAGGCCAAUCAAAUUCCGUGAUAGCUGGUUCUCUCCGAAAUGCAUUUAGGUGCAGCGUCGGUUGAUUGCAUCGCGGGGGUAGAGCUACUGGAUGCUUGCGGGCCCGUGUCGGGUACCAAUAGCAGCCAAACUCCGAAUACCGUGGAUGUGUAUUCCGGCAGUGAGUCGGCGGGGGAUAAGCUCCGUCGUCGAGAGGGAGACAGCCCAGAUCGUCGUCUAAGGUCCCGAAGCGUGUGCUAAGUGGGAAAGGAUGUGGAGUCGCAUAGACAGCCAGGAGGUUGGCUCAGAAGCAGCCAUCCUUGAAAGAGUGCGUAACAGCUCACUGGUCUAGUGGUUCCGCGCCGACAAUGUAGCGGGGCUCAAGCACACCACCGAAGACGCGGCAGCGGCCUUUGCGGCCGUUGGGUAGGAGAGCGUCCCGCGUGGGGCGAAGCGGCCGGGGAACCGUGCCGUGGACCGCGCGGGAGUGAGAAUGCAGACAUGAGUAGCGAGAGACGGGUGAGGAUCCCGUCCGCUGGAUGACCAAGGGUUCCGGGGCCACGUUCGUCGUCCCCGGGUGAGUCGUGUCCUAAGGCGAGGCCGACAGGCGUAGUCGAAUGGAUGAACGGGUGGAUAUUCCCGUACCGGCGGCGUACCGUAAGAGCCGAACGGAUGAGUACUAACCUCCGGUCGCGUGGCGUCGUUCCCUUCGGGGUUCGGGGCGCGUGGCUGUUGGGAGCGUAGUCCUGGUAGGCUAGCGCACAGGGGUGACACGGAAUGGGAGCCGGCCGCGGAGGUGGUUUUCCGUGGUCAAGCACGCAGCCAGUCAUGUAGGCAAAUCCGCAUGGCAUGCAUGGCGAGGUGUGAUGAUGGGAGCCGUUAUGGCUCGAUAUCCGGUUGUCCAGGCCGUCGAGAAAAGCCUCGGCGUGAGGGCCAUGGCCGCCCGUACCCCAAACCGACACUGGUGGUCAGGUAGAGAAUACCAAGGCGAUCGAGCGAAUCCUGGUCAAGGAACUCGGCAAAUCACUCCCGUGCCUUCGGUAUAAGGGAGACCCCCGGGCGUGAAGAGGCUUGCCCUCGGAGCGUUGGGGGGUGGCACAGACCAGGGGGUAGCGACUGUUUACCAAAAACACAGGUGCAUGCGAAGGCGCAAGCCGCUGUAUAUGCACUGACGCCUGCCCGGUGCCGGAAGGUUAAGAGGAUCCGUCAAUCCCUUCGGGGACGAAGCGGUGAAUUCAAGCCCCGGUAAACGGCGGUGGUAACUAUAACCAUCCUAAGGUAGCGAAAUUCCUUGUCGGGUAAGUUCCGACCUGCACGAAUGGCGUAACGACUUCCCCACUGUCUCGACCAGGAGCUCGGCGAAAUUGCAGUACGAGUAAAGAUGCUCGUUAAGCGCAGAAGGACGAAAAGACCCCGGGACCUUUACUAUACCUUGGUAUUGGCGUUAGGCGCGGAUUGUGUAGCAUAGGCGGGAGGCUUCGAAGCGGUGGCGCCAGCCAUCGUGGAGCCGCAAGGUGAAAUACCGCUCUGUUCUCGUUUGACGUCUCACCUCGAACAGUCAUCCUGUUCAGGGACAGUGCCUGGCGGGUAGUUUAACUGGGGCGGUUGCCUCCCAAAGAGUAACGGAGGCGCUCAAAGGUCCGCUCAGCCCGGUUGGCAAUCGGGUUUCGAGUGUAAUCGCACAAGCGGGCUUGACUGCGAGAACGACGGUUCGGGCAGGGACGAAAGUCGGAGAUAGUGAUCCGGUGCCGGCGCACGGGCGCGGCAUCGCUCAACGGAUAAAAGGUACCCCGGGGAUAACAGGCUGAUCAUUCCCAAGAGUCCAUAUCGACGGGAUGGUUUGGCACCUCGAUGUCGGCUCGUCGCAUCCUGGGGCUGGAGCAGGUCCCAAGGGUUCGGCUGUUCGCCCAUUAAAGCGGCACGCGAGCUGGGUUCAGAACGUCGUGAGACAGUUUGGUCUCUAUCCUCUGCGCUCGUUGGAAUCCUGAGGAGGCCUGCCCAUAGUACGAGAGGACCUGGGUGGACGAACCUCUGGUAUGCCGGUUGUCGCGCCAGCGGC